AUUUGUGAAGUUGAUACGGAAUAUUUAUCAACAAGUUCUUGGUACCUUCCGAUGAACUUUUUUUUAGAAAAAGGACGAGACGUUCUUUGACACACCCCUGGUUCAUCAACUUUCAGCUCAGACACUGGUGACGUUUUACAAAGUCUGAAUAGGAGCUGCAAGCUCUUGAAUACCGAAUAAGUUGGGAAAUGUAUAUUCCAUAUGCAGGUGAAGUUGGU
This 218-nucleotide long non-coding RNA is filed under the name Mytilus galloprovincialis (Mediterranean mussel). Lineage: Eukaryota; Metazoa; Mollusca; Bivalvia; Mytilida; Mytilidae. The record is from RNAcentral.